Molecule: ribosomal RNA, 253 nt
Filed under: uncultured bacterium
Lineage: Bacteria
Description: partial 16S ribosomal RNA
Rfam family: Bacterial small subunit ribosomal RNA
Source: RNAcentral
UACGGGGGGAGCAAGCGUUGUUCGGAUUUACUGGGCGUAAAGGGCUCGUAGGCGGCCAACUAAGUCAGACGUGAAAUCCCUCGGCUUAACCGGGGAACUGCAUCUGAUACUGGAUGGCUUGAGUUCGGGAGAGGGAUGCGGAAUUCCAGGUGUAGCGGUGAAAUGCGUAGAUAUCUGGAGGAACACCGGUGGCGAAGGCGGCAUCCUGGACCGACACUGACGCUGAGGAGCGAAAGCCAGGGGAGCAAACGGG